GAGACUCUGUGCGCGUGCAUAUCAAUAAGCGGAGGAAAAGAAACUAACAAGGAUUCCCUUAGUAACGGCGAGUGAAGCGGGAAGAGCUCAAAUUUGAAAUCUUCAAGGUUCUACCUUGACGAAUUGUAGUUUAAAGAAGUGUUUUCUGUUAGAUGAGUAGCAAAAGUUCCUUGGAAUGGGACAUCAUAGAGGGUGAGAAUCCCGUAUUUGGUUAUUCAUUCUAGCUUUGUGAUACACUUUCAAAGAGUCGGAUUGUUUGGGAAUGCAGUCCAAAAUGGGUGGUAAAUUUCAUCUAAAGCUAAAUAUUGGCGAGAGACCGAUAGCGAACAAGUACCGUGAGGGAAAGAUGAAAAGAACUUUGAAAAGAGAGUUAAACAGUACGUGAAAUUGUCAAAAGGGAAGCGUUUGACACCAGUGUUGUUUUUCCGAAAAUCAAUUACGAAUGGCUUGAUUUUGUGUUGUAUUGACCUUAUCAGCUCUCUUCACUUUUUUCGAGUCUUUCUUAAUGCACUUUUCGGUUAACAAGUCAACAUCAAUUUCUUUUGUUGUAAAAGAGUAUUCGGAAGGUGGCUUUCUUUUCGGAGAAAGUGUUUAUAGCCCUAUACUUCUACAAUCGGAGAGAUUGAGGUCUGCAGCGUAGAUCCUUCGGGGUUAGAUACACUUGUGCUAAGUUGUAGCUUUUCAUAGACAACUUGUUGACUAUAUUUAGUCAUGCGGCUUACUCGCUUGUGCUAUUUUACCUACGCUUAGGAUGUUGACUGAUAUGUAGUCGU
Molecule: ribosomal RNA, 773 nt
Filed under: uncultured Neocallimastigales
Lineage: Eukaryota; Fungi; Neocallimastigomycota; Neocallimastigomycetes; Neocallimastigales
Description: partial large subunit ribosomal RNA
Rfam family: Eukaryotic large subunit ribosomal RNA
Source: RNAcentral